AGUGAACGCUGGCGGUAGGCCUAACACAUGCAAGUCGAACGGCAGCACAGGAGAGCUUGCUCUCUGGGUGGCGAGUGGCGGACGGGUGAGGAAUACAUCGGAAUCUACUCUGUCGUGGGGGAUAACGUAGGGAAACUUACGCUAAUACCGCAUACGACCUACGGGUGAAAGCAGGGGACCUUCGGGCCUUGCGCGAUUGAAUGAGCCGAUGUCGGAUUAGCUAGUUGGCGGGGUAAAGGCCCACCAAGGCGACGAUCCGUAGCUGGUCUGAGAGGACGACCAGCCACACUGGGACUGAGACACGGCCCAGACUCCUACGGGAGGCAGCAGUGGGGAAUUUUGGACAAUGGGCGCAAGCCUGAUCCAGCCAUGCCGCGUGCGGGAAGAAGGCCUUCGGGUUGUAAACCGCUUUUGUCAGGGAAGAAAUCCUGCGGGCUAAUAUCCUGCGGGGAUGACGGUACCUGAAGAAUAAGCACCGGCUAACUACGUGCCAGCAGCCGCUGUAA
RNAcentral lists this ribosomal RNA (506 nucleotides) under uncultured bacterium. RNAcentral describes it as "partial 16S ribosomal RNA". It matches the Rfam family "Bacterial small subunit ribosomal RNA", at positions 29 to 523 of the family's 1533-position model. The record is from RNAcentral.